This is a long non-coding RNA of Rosa chinensis, 426 nucleotides long. RefSeq lists it as uncharacterized. The record is from RefSeq and is a predicted model, not a curated record. Lineage: Eukaryota; Viridiplantae; Streptophyta; Magnoliopsida; Rosales; Rosaceae. The transcript has 2 exons.
CGCACUUCGAAUGCGAGAUGGAGGGCCAUUUGUCUUUGCUCAGGUCUUAUUUGAUGUCUAUGGCUUUCGGAAUUGCUUCAAAUGUUAAAUUUCAGUUUCCAUGAUUCAUAUCCUUGUGAACCUAUAUGUCUUUGCUCAGGUGAAGCACGGGCAAGGAGUUGAGGAAAUCGUGAACCACAUAAUACAGGCUUGGGAACUAGCAACAGGAAAUAAGCGCCAAUGAGCCACCGACGCUUUUUCACUGAAUUUGGUUUCUGCAUCUUUUUUCCAAAUCUCUGUCUACCUCUUAGAAUAAAUGUGUAAAUGUUUAACACUACUCCGCCCCUGCGGGAGUGGAGCGGUGAAUGAUGAGGAACGCAUUGUUGCUAUGCUAUUACUGUUUAGUGUCACAAUUUUUAUAUCUAAUUGAGUUGUCAUUCUUUUUUU